Acinonyx jubatus (cheetah) is the source of this 4900-nucleotide long non-coding RNA. RefSeq lists it as uncharacterized. The record is from RefSeq and is a predicted model, not a curated record. Lineage: Eukaryota; Metazoa; Chordata; Mammalia; Carnivora; Felidae. The transcript is spliced from 5 exons.
AAGGUCGGGGCGGGGCAGGAGGAAGAGGGGAGGACGAUCCUGGUGGGGCGAAGGGCAAGCAGACCGACCAGGCUUGGUGCCCUUGUGAGGCUUACACGGGGUGCUCCAGGCAGCGUGUCAGGGACUGGCUUAGAAACCCGCGGGGUUGAGUGCUGGGUGUUGUAUGGAAACCAAUUUGACAAAAAAUUUCAUAUAUUUAAAAAAAAAAGAAAUGCAAAAACAAAAACAAAAACACACACACACAAGAAACCCGCAGAGAAGAGGAGGGGAAAACAGCGCAAAAGACAAAAGCAAAACCAGGUAGCUGGGAGAUGGUGGGAAAACACUGACUUUGACUGAAGGGUUGGCUUGGACGACUUGACCUCUCUGGGCUUCAGGAACUUCACCCCCCCCCACCCUCCCAGCGUGGCACCGGUAAAAAUCCCUCCCCGACAGCUACUCAGGGAAGAGGAAUCGGGUCUGAGUGUAGAAAGCAAAUAUUUAUUGAGAAUCUCCUCUGUGCCAGGUGCUGUUAUAGGUAACAGCAACACAGGGAUUAAUAAAAUAAGAGUUUUGCCUUUGAGAAACUUAUUUCCGCGUGUACUUGGCCAUGCUGACGAAGUGAGUGAGGAUAUAGAAACGAACUAAAAAAACAAACGUGUUGAAAGCCUGCUGUGUGACGGUCACCUUGUCCUGUGUUCUGUUACCUCAUUUUAACCUCGCGAGGACACUCCAAGGUGUUGUUCGCUUUACAAAGGAGGAAACUGGCCCAGAGACGCUCACCACGUUUGCCAAAACCACGCAGCUCGUACGGAGUUUAGGAUGUGAAAUCUCCCCAGACCUCCAAUCCUCUCUCCUUCUCCAUGGUUAGAAGCCAGCCAUCUGGAGUGUUCUCAUCUUUCCACAGCCAAACCGCAGACCUGUCCAUACCAGCAUCUAGCCUGUCCUUUCCCCUCUUGUUCAAUGGAGAAAGCGUGCUUCUCGGUAUCACACGGAUUCUGGAUCCCAGAACUUCUCUUGGAUCUGUUUGUAGGUUUGGCCUUGUCGGAGCAUGCCAACAGACAGCAGAAUCACCAGCUACAUUUUGCUAAGAGAGAUUGUGCCAAACUGAUGCACUUGACCGCCCGAGGAAACAACUCCCUGCUCUUCCAGGUUAACGAUCUCAAGUAGAUCAAUCAAUAUUGUCAGAGCCUGCGGUUGAAGUAAAUUUUACCCGGAUUCUGGCACAAGACACAGGAAAAGGAGACCAAGAAAGACAAGCUACAGGGGCCAUCCUCGGAACACAACUUCGCAAAGUGCUGGCUGGCAGCCUGGUCUCCAGAAGUCACGCUGACUUUAUCCUUUUAUGGGUAUAGAGAACGAUCCUUUUAUGGAUUGCCUCAGCCCCACUCCCCACGUCCUGCCAUCUUGAAUUCCUGGUCAGCAUUUGCCCUCCAGAGAAAGGUUGAACCUCCCGAGGCUGAGGUAACCCAUAGCUAGUCUGUGCUGUCCAGAAGAUGGCAUGGGAUCCCACAAAGGAGGUACAAUCUCACGCAGCCAAAGGAGUCUUUACGGAUGAAACCUGAACGGGACAGAGAGAGCUUUGACCUUCUGCGUAACACGUUUGAGUCAGCUGGUAGUUGAGUUCGGUUGGUUGGCUGUGUCUCAGAUGUCAGUAGGAGACGAAGCAAAGAUGUUCUGCUUGCUGAGGUUUUCCUUUCUCCAUGGACCAGAUGUUCUUUUGGAAAGAGCCUUGGAUUUGGAAUCGCAAAAACCUGGAUUUAAACCCUUUUCUGUCAUUUACCCUAGUGACCUCCCUAAGCCCAAUGCCCUCGCCUAACCAGUGAAAAUCUCACAGUCCCCAGCUGAUGAAGCAACCAGCUGACAAGCGUCUGGAUACGCCAGUAACUGCGACUUGAAACUACAUGUCACCCAGUGCUCUGGGGAAGGGUGGGAGACGUAGAGGUGGUGGUAACUCAGGCUGGCCUGGAGGUCCCUGCCCUGGGGGAGGCUCAAGUCCUCCGUGGUUUGUGACCCAGCCCGGGUGAGGCAGGAAGUAUGGGGCCUCCUCAGGCAGAGGGCCUGUCUCCCCAGUUCAAAUGUUGAGCACCUCCAUACCAGGGCCCCGUCUGCCUGCUCCCUCUGGUAGGGGCACAAUCUGUGUUUAAAGGAAGCAAGAAACACUACCGUUUUCCCCUUUUCCUUGUGGGGUCGCCCUGUGUGGAAUGAUGUCUUUGACAACAUAGAGCUUGUCACGGUUGACAAACCACUUUCCUACCUGUUAUUCUGGAGACCACCUGCCACCCAGGAAGUCUCUCCUCCUCCCCACUGCUGACACCUAAGGGGUCACCAAGUCUGGCCAAUUCUUCCCUUUAUAGUCGAACUCGUCUGUCCUUCUGCACCUUCCCCACUGCCAUCACCUAGAUGCAGGCCUCUGUCACUUCCUCCCCCGACGGCUCCGUACCUGCCCUCCUCACUUCCCAGCUUGCCCUGUGCUAAGCCCCCUUUCUAUCCAAGAGUCAGAAAGAUCUCUCUAUCUCUCUUUUUUUAAGUGCAUUCAUUUAUUUUGAGAGAGAGAGAGAGCACAAGCCAGGGAGGGGCAAAGAGAGAGGGAGAGAGAGAAUCCCAAGCAGGCUCUGCGCUUUCAGGGCAGAGCCUGAUGCAGAGCUCGAACUCAUGAACCGUGAGAUUAUGACCUGAGCCGAAACCAAGAGUCAGAUGCUUAACUGACUGUGCCCCCCAGGUGGCCCCAGAGAGAUGGCUCUUAAAUAAAACUCUGCUCAUUUCUCUCCUGUUGCCUUAGCACCAAGUCAGCCCCUGCACAGGACCUGAGCCACCUGCCCCCCCCCCCCCAAUCCUGUCCUUAUCUCCUCAGACCCACUUGUCCUCCCCCUGCCUGCCUGGCCAGGGGUGACCCAUGAGGCCACGUGCCUGAAUCACCUGGCAGGGGAAACAGGGACCUGGAGGCACAUUUCAUCCCUCCCUUCAUGUCAUCCCCUUGUCCGCACACGCACGUCUGUCCCGCCUGGUGAUGUCACGGGCCCGGGUACAUGUGCAGUAGCUCGCACCAGGGCUCCAAGGCGGGGGCGGGGUGUAGAGUGAUGAACGCCCGGUCUCACUUCAGAGAGAUGAUGACAGCAUGAAGGAAGGUGAGGCAAGACUUGGCACAAGGCACAGUGGGGACGCAGAGUCCCCAGAGCCUCCUGACUGAGAAAUAUGAACACGCAAACUUGGGUAAAUAAUGUCACUCUUAUCUACCAUAGCACUUGCUAAAUAAGAUACUUACGUGGUACUCUCUUCAUGCUGGACACCGUUGUAAGCAGCCUACGUGCACUUACUUGAUUUAUCUGAUGAGUUAUCCCCACGACAACUCACUUUACAGACAAGAAAAACAAAAACAAAAACCCUGAGGCACAGAGAAGUUAAGUAACUUUCCUAAAGCAACACAGCUUGUAAGUAGUAAAGCCAAGAUUUGGCUCCUGAGUCUGUGCUCUUAACCCCCAUGCCCUUUUGUCAGCCUGUAAAAGUCAGGCCUGCCCCCCUGCCCCGGGGGAGCGCUGUCCUCCUGCGGCCCCUCACUCACCCGGGCGUGACAAGUGUCUGUAGAAUCUCCAGCCCAGAGGCCUCACCUCGCUCUGCUGUCAUUUAUUAUUUCAUCGCUGUGAGGCCUCAUCCUGUUUCUCAGCUGGGUUUUGAUCUCCCCAUUGCGGGGGGAGCAAACCGGAAGAAGAUUCCUGUGAGGCACCGCACCGCAGCAUUCCCAGGAAUCAAAACUGAGGGUGUCUAUCCGCGGAAACACUCCUGUAGGAGAAGGGUCGGUCUGAGGGUGCCCCGGGGGGCACUCCCCAGGCCUCGGUGGGCACACUGGGUCCGCGGCGCCACAGGGGCACGCGGCUCCAGGCAGAUGCCAUCCUGUGAGCCAUCGGUUGUGGGCAGUGGUUGAGUCCACAGAAAGAGAAGUGAAGGAGUGAGGAGUUGAUAGGCGCAAAGACGAGCCUUGGGGAAGGCCUGGUCGGAGGGGAUGAGAUAAAGAGCAGGGGUGGGGGGAGGAGAGGGACAGAAAAAAGUGACAGGAGGAGCACACGCACGAAGCAAGAACUCCUAUUUGUGCAUCAUUUUCUCUUAUCCCUUAUCACCUACACACACACACACACACACACACACACACACACACACCAAAACCUCCGAGUCCAGUGCUGGAAGCAGGUGAGGUACGAUUAGUAACACCAGUUUCCGGAUGUGAAAACUGAAAGCAGCACAGGCUGGUGCCCCACCCCCCCAACACCGCACCACCACCCCCGCCCCGUGUGGCAGGUGGUAGCUAGCACCCUUCCCCACCCCCACCUCCCACCGUCCGGGAGCUUGUAUCCCUCACGCAAGCCACCACGGGAGAGGAAGCAAGGGGGCCACCUGUCACAUGUGCCCUUGAUCCAAGCAGGAGGCACAUCUGGGCCAUGGAAGGAGCAGGCCCGGUGGGAGUGGGGCUCCAAAUGGAGGUGUGGGUCGGGUGAGGAGUGGUGGGGGGGGGGGGGUACGGAGCAGGUGGAGGAAGCCAGCAUACACCCUAGUUGGAGAAACUGGUUCUGGGGAAGGAGAAGCAGGGGGCCCUGGGAGGGGGUUGUGCCCUCUCUCUCUCCCCCUGGUCUCUCCCUCCUCUGGCAUUUAUGGUCUGCCCGCCCCUCACUGUCUCCCCGCCUGCACCACCCCCUUCUCAUUCCCCCCUGUCUGUCUGUCUCUCCCCUUUCUCAUGGCUUCCUCUCUAUUUUCAGGGCCCAUUCUGUCUCCAUGUUUCCUCUUCCCCGACUCAACUAUUCUGUACCUGGAAAUCUAAAACAUAUCUGGCAUGAGGUUUGCUUACUGAAUAAAGUUUUAUGCUACUUGUUUUCAUUUGAAAAGCAGGAGGGCAGAAACGUUUUCUUCCCUUCUCUUUGAAGACGAAAAA